Molecule: ribosomal RNA, 791 nt
Filed under: Chlamydomonas raudensis
Lineage: Eukaryota; Viridiplantae; Chlorophyta; Chlorophyceae; Chlamydomonadales; Chlamydomonadaceae
Description: SSU rRNA
Rfam family: Eukaryotic small subunit ribosomal RNA
Source: RNAcentral
UCAUUGGACACCGUACUAAUCAAGAGUUAAUCGGGCGUAACCCCUAUUCUGAAGGGAAUUUUUUUUGGAUAAAGCCCCGGGGGGCACCCCCACCCUGUUGAAAUAAAUAUAUUCACGAAUGGCACGGCCUUGUGCCGGCGAGGUUUCACUCAAAUAUAUGCCCGUGUUAACUUUCGGUGGUUAGAUAGAGGCCUACCCUGGUUGUGCCGGGUGAAGGUGGAUUAGGGUUUGAUUCCGGAGAGGGAGCUUUAGAAACGGGUUCCACAUCCAAGGAAGGCCGCCGGCGCGCAAAAUACCCCAUCCCGAUUCGGGGAGGUAGAGGCAAUAAAUAACAAUUCCGGGCCUUUAACGUUCGGUAAUUGGAAUGAGUACAAUUUAAAUUUCCUAACGAGGAUCCCUUGGAGGGCAAGUUUGGUGCCAGCAGCCGCGGUAAUUCCAGAUCCAAUAGAGUAUAUAUAAGCGGUUGCAGUUAAAAGACUCUUAUUCGAACUUCGGGCGCGGCGCGACGGUCCGCCUCUGGUGUGCACUGUCGUCGCCGCGCCUUUCUGUCGGGGACGGGCUCCUGGGCUUCACUGUCCGGGACCCGGGCUCGGCGAGGUUACUUUGAGUAAAUUAGAGUGUUCAAAGCAGGCGAUCGCCCUGAAUACAUUAGCAUGGAAUAGCACGAUAGGACUCUGGCCUAUCUUGCUGGUCUGUAGGACCGGAGUAAUGAUUAAGAGGGACAGUCGGGGGCAUUCGUAUUUCUGGGCCAGAGGUGAAAUUCUUGGACUCCAGAAAGACGCUCUACUGCG